Molecule: long non-coding RNA, 213 nt
Organism: Zingiber officinale
Lineage: Eukaryota; Viridiplantae; Streptophyta; Magnoliopsida; Zingiberales; Zingiberaceae
Exons: 2
Source: RefSeq, a predicted model, not a curated record
UAUACAACACCAUCAUCAUAUAACCAAACUAGCUUUCAGGAUUGAUUACUACUUGCUAGCUUAGGAUUGGAUUUUCUUUGCUAGAUGGUGUUGUAUUGUGAUUUUAAAUUUCAGAUGUUGUAGUACUAUACAAUCAGAUGUUUAUGGUUGGAGAUGUUUGGAUAUUUAUCUAUGUUUUGUGAUUGGAUGUUUAGUUUAAAUUUUGUGCUUGGA